AAUGUACGUUGGAAUGUUACUCGACCAAAGAGAUUAUCUGUAUGUUGACACAAACAUUUGAUUAAGUUGGGAUGUUCUGUUUUAUCUUUAAAUAACAUGUACAAAUAAUGUAUUUGGAAACAUUAGAAACCCACGUGUUAUACCAACUAAAAGGAUCCAGACUACGACGUAUACUUUGAUUUUUUUGUUGUGAACAAAAAAAAUAGUUUGCGGCAGACAAAAGAGGACGACUGUCGCUUUCAACCUUGUUUAGCGCUUAUACGAUAAUCUCAGGAAGACAACCUCCCGUCUGAUCAGCAGCAUGUGCGUCACAUUCGUUCAAAAAUAGAACGUCUUAGUUAUGUGAGUGUAACUUUGCAUGUUAAAAAUCUGUACCUGCUUUCAACUACUUUUUUUGCGGAAUGCGCCCAGUGAAGACGUGAUUGUAUCUUUCUUAAUGUCGUAGGCCCCUCGCGUGCGCUUUACCUCUUACGUCAUUGAAUUAUGACGUGGGUUAAUAGUCUAGACACCCAAAUAUGGUCAACAGGACAACAAAGGAGAGAACUUGUGCGGGUUGGUUCACCGCGGUUUCAGUUGUCGUUCGAAAGUUUAAGGUCGUUUGAGGUUAAAACUGGGACAAAGAAAGCGAUAUCUUCUUGGGGUGAAUUAUGUCAAGCAGUUUUCAAAUGUUUUGGUAAAAUUACCGAUCGCUUUUCACCAAACAAGGGAAGAAUUUACCUGAUACAAAAAAAAAAUCGUUACCAGCGUUUUAUUUAUAGAAACCUUUUUACCGCGUUUUUUACCCUUCGCAGGGAAUGUGAGGGUGUCGCACCAAAUGUUUGCUUGGGAUAAAUAAGCCGGAGGCGACCGUGCCAUCUGCGAUGAAAUGCGUAAGUGUGGGUUUGUAGGACUGAAACAUUUCGCUGCGAAAUUUUGGCAGCUGCGUGUUCCACGCUUUGUUAUGACAAUGCAGGUUGACACAGAACCGCAGAGGGAGCGCCGUCGACACUUAUACGAAGCGCUGCUUAGUAGCGAGCAAUUUAAAUUACCCCAAACUGGCGAUAUACAAUGACAAAGCGAGGUGCCAUGAACGUGCUUGGGAUUCACCUUGAGAGAUUUUCAGCUGAGGCAAGUCUCGUCGCUGAGUUUUUAUAGACACACAGAGACACAGUGAUUGCGAAAUUCGAUCAUCUUACACCUCUGUCUAUCAAAGAAAUUGGGUAGGUGCCACCACGUGUUGACAAGCGUUGCAUUACAAUGUGUAUUCUGGUAUAUUACGCGAGAUUGGAUUGCUUUGCCACUGUUGGACAGCUUAACCUCGCGUCGUUGACAAACAUAAAUUAAAUGUAAAUCGCCCAUGCCAGUGUAAUACGGUAAUACGGUAGUAAGUAUGCGUGAGUAAUCACUAUAUCUUACAAAAACAAAUGAUUAGAUCGUAAUGGAGGAGAGUCUUCUACUAUGCGCGAGUGGUGGAAGCAAAGGUGGUGGAAGCAGCUCCACUGUGCCAAGCUAUCUCGUAAAACAUCGCUAUCUGCAAGCUAAUGCGGGUUGCGUGUCUUUACACAUUGCAGACAAGACACAACAAUUCUCUGUAUUCACUCUCAGCUUCCUAAUCCUCUUUCGUAGAGAAAACGGUUAAGCUUAAUCUGCGAUCGAUGGCUAUCAUAAUUCGAUGCGGUGUGGCUCAAGUUACCACCAUGAAGCAAGAUACGCUUUCAUCUAAUUUAGGAUAGCGUGAUCACUGAUAUUGUUUAUUUGACCAGGGCGUAAAUUUGCAAACGAUUUAGUUUUCUAGGAUAGGACCAAUUUAUCCAUUAUGUUGGUCGGAAUUUUUAAAUAGGUGAUGGGCGUAUAAAGUACUUGUUCAAACGCCCACAGCACGAAAGAAUAAACAAAUAAUGCGAAAACUUUUAAGAAGAGUUUUAACCGAAGGUAUAAAUGGUUUUCAGAAACGUACAGCACCGCGUUUAACCUUCGGAUUAGCAAUUUUUGUGGUCGGUGGCAACGUCAGACGCGGUUUGUGUUUAUGGAGUGUCAUCAAAAUAAACUAGAAGUGCAAACGUUAAGCACAAGAAACAACGAGGCGGACUCGAUUUAUACGGCGGCUACAGUUUAGAUUUAAUGCAAAUGAAGUGCAAGCAAGAUGUCGGCAACUUUCCAAAUUCUUCUUCGGUGAUCAAGGAACGCGCAAAAUCAACAUCAGGCAUCUUAAGUUUCACGCUUGACGUUUGUAACAAAAAAUAAAAUAAAAUAUGCUGAAAAA
Long non-coding RNA from Ciona intestinalis (vase tunicate), 2242 nucleotides. RefSeq lists it as uncharacterized. The record is from RefSeq and is a predicted model, not a curated record. Lineage: Eukaryota; Metazoa; Chordata; Ascidiacea; Phlebobranchia; Cionidae.